RNAcentral lists this ribosomal RNA (376 nucleotides) under uncultured bacterium. RNAcentral's name for it is "bacterial SSU rRNA". It matches the Rfam family "Bacterial small subunit ribosomal RNA", at positions 524 to 898 of the family's 1533-position model. The record is from RNAcentral.
CACGUAGGAGGCAAGCGUUAUCCGGAUUUACUGGGCGUAAAGCGCGUGUAGGCGGUUCGGUAAGUUGGAUGUGAAAUCUCCUGGCUCAACUAGGAGAGGUCGUUCAAUACUGCCAGACUAGAGGACGGUAGAGGAAGGUAGAAUUCCCGGUGUAGUGGUGAAAUGCGUAGAUAUCGGGAGGAAUACCAGUGGCGAAGGCGGCCUUCUGGGCCGUUCCUGACGCUCAGACGCGAAAGCGUGGGUAGCGAACGGGAUUAGAAACCCCGGUAGUCCAUGCUGUAAACGAUGCGGACUUGGUGUUGGUGGUGUAAAAACCAUCAGUGCCGAAGCUAACGCGUUAAGUCCGCCGCCUGGGGACUACGGUCGCAAGAUUAAA